GGUUGACCUAAGUGGAGCUAGGUGUGAAUGAAACUGGCCUCAUUUUGGGUUUUUUUUUUGAGCUGCUGGAGAUGAAACCCAGGGCUUCGUGCAUGCUAGGUAAGCGCUCUGCCAGAGCUACAUCCCUAGCCCCAGUCUCCUGAUUUUGUGCAAUUAGUGAAUUAAGAAUUGUUUUUCCAUUUUAAAUGUUUUUUGGGAAAGAAUAAUGUUUCUUGCCUUGUGAAAAUGAUAAAAAACUAAACUUUCAGUGUCCAUAAAGUUGUAUUGGAACACAGCCACGUCUAUGACUGCUACAAGGCAGAGGGCAGAGUUAAAUGGUCACAACAGAGAGCUUAUAGGCCAAGGAGCUUUAAAUAUUUACCAUCUGGCCCUUUAUAGAAGAGGGCAGAACCUUGCUUAGCGCCUCCAAACCAAUCGGGCCAUGCUUUCUGCGUAGAGACUUUUGAAUUCAUUUUGUUUUUUUUACUUUUCUUUUUUUGAGACGGGGUCUCGAUAUGUAGUUUAGGCUGGUUUCAAACUCAGGGCAGUCCGCCUGGCUCCACCUCCCGAUUGCUGAGAUUACAGGUGGUGGAAGCCAGACCCUGGCCUGAGAGAUGGAGAAGCCAUUCCUUAAGGUGCCCAGAGCAUGCCAGGGACUGUGGGUCAGAGGAAGUCUCGGGAGAAGACAGCAGCUGGCCUGGGCAGGGUGGUGGACAGGGACCCGCAUUCCAGCUCUGGGUCUGCAAACAGCACUGUUUCCUGGGGAAACAGUAACCCUGGCCAGGUUCCUCUGUUUGCUCCUCUGUAAGGUGAGCGUGAAGGCAAUACACUCCGAUGAAUGUAUGUGUAAAAUGGUUUGAGGAAGAAAAGGGGAAGAAGGCAAGGCAGAGCAUUCCAAGAUUUGGGGGACAAGAAGAGUCACGGUGGAGAAGGCAGGCUCUAAGCAUGAGGUUCUUCAAUCAAGUGGAAACCCACUUCCCCGGUCCUGGUACCUUCCAGCCCUAUUCCUGCCUGUGAAGGCAACAGAGACCAAGCCCGAUUCUUGCUGGCCACACUCCAGCUCCCCGCCACCUCUAAGGGUCUGUGUGGUGUGGGGUUGGAAGCCAGGGCCUUGCGCAUGCUAGACAAGCACUCUAUCACCGAGUGACACCCCCAGCCCUUUCAAGGUCUCACUAAAUUGCCCAAGUGAAACUGGAACUUUUUUUUUGGUACCAGGGAUUGAACUUGGGACCUUGCGCUUUUGAGGCUGGUGGCGGCACCACUGAGCUAAAUCCCCAGCCCAGCAACUGGAACUUUUGAUCCUUCCACCUGGCCUUCUGAGUAGCUGGGAUCCCAGGAGUAUGCAACCACACUGGGCUUUAGGUCUUCUAUAUAUAACUGCUCUGUGAUUGUGGAUGAAUCUUCUGAGGUGUCUGCCCUACCUCCAUCCUCUACUUCGUGAGAACCCCCAGUCUCUGGAGGUUGCUGCUGUCAUUUGUACUUAGUGUACUCCCCCUUGGCAGUGGCUCAUUGGGCAAGGGUACCAGUUUUAACGGAAGCUGGGCCAAUCAGGUUUGCUCCUGGGAAUUGUUUUUAUUUAAAAAUUUUCUUGGGCCAGGGAUUUAGCUCAGUGGCACACACCUGCCUCGAAAGCGCAAGGUCCUGAGUUUGAUCCCUGGUACCAAAAGAAAAUUAUUACAGUAAAAGACACAUUGCUAUUUUUUUUAAGGAAGUUUUUUUUUUGGUACUGGGGAUCGAACUCAGGUCCUUGCACUUGUGUGAGGCAGGCGGCGGAACCACUGAGCUAAAUCCCUGGCUCCACAUUGCUAUUAAUUCCCAUCAAGAUACUCUCGGCUUUGAACACACUUAUCCCAUCAUCUGUGCCACUUCCUGAAGCAGUUCUGGAAGUCCUCUUUCAUGAGUGUCUUUAGUUGUGCUAUCAGGAGAGCCUGGGAAUUUUGAACUGGCAUCCUGAAGUUCCUGACCUGAGGACAUGGAAAGUUGGGACUUAGUGGGACACUGUCUUUAGCCGUGUGCAGAGGAAAGCAGAGGUCAGCAGCCAUGGAACGAGACAGGAAGAGAAAGGGAACAGGAGGAGGAAGACAAGAGUUAAAGGAAGAAAGAGGGAGGGGGAGGGGAGGAGAGAAUGAGAAUCUCAUGGCAGAAAAGGGAGGAGCCCAGAAACCUACACUUGCUUUUUAACAAUCCACUCUUGGUAGCAGGGGAUUUAGCUCAGUGGUUUUACCCCCUGCUGCGCAAGCGCAAAGACCCAAGUUCAAUCCCCGGUACCAAAAAAAAUCCACUCUUGGUAACUAAUCCAGCCCUGCCCAUUCCUGAGGUGGGAAUGAAUCCUUCCACUGUGCCCUUAACUGCCUCUACUAGGCCCCGCCUCUUAAAGAUGGCUCAUCUCUCAACAGGAGUGCUGUAGACUCAGCUUCCAGUAUAGGAAUCUCUGGGGGACAAAUCACAUCCAGGCCACAGUAAUGCCUCAGUCACUGUGGUGCUAUUCUUAGUGGAACUUGCAUCGAAGUGGGCGCUUCUGGGAUAAUCUUCCUCUGCCUUCUGCAGAGUGAGCCUGGGUCAAGACUUCAACAGAGAAGCUGCCCCGACCACUGGUCACCCUGGUGCCUCCUCAGAUAGGUACAUGGCUUUGUUCCCUCAGUUCUCCAAGUUUUUGGUACCGGGGAUCGAACUCAGGACCUUGCGCUUGCAAGGCAGGUGGUGGAACCGCUGAGCUAAAUCCUCAGCCUCCUCCCAAGUUUCUUAACAAAAAUCUGCCAAAGAACCUGGUUUGUCCCUGAAUUUUUCUUUGUUUUAAAAUAUUUUUGAGAUAGAGUCUUGCUAAGUAUUUCAGACUGGCCUUGAACUGUGUAACCCAGACUGGCCUCAAACUCAUGGUGAUCUUCCUGCUUCAGCCUCCUGAGUGCUGGGAUUGAAGGCUUGAGCCACUCCGCCUGGCUUGUCCCUGAAUUUUCUAACCCAGCCCGAAGUACCAUGCGAUUUUAUAACUUGCUGAGCUAGAAGGGCCAUGGGCACUUUCAUGAAUGCUGGGGUGCAGGGACGGGGUGUGAUUCCAUGGUAGACCAUUUGCCUAGCGUGUGUGAGCCCUGGGCUCCAUCCCCAGCACUGGAGGGAAAUAGGUAGAGUCCUCUUUUCUCUCUUGACGACACAUUCUAAGAGUGAGAGUAUGUUUGGUGAACCUAGUGCUUCCAAAGCCAUAAAGCAGAGCUGACGGAAUAAAGAAUUAGCCCCUCCAGCUAACAUGAAGGUAAGCAGCUCUCCUACAGGUCAAAUGCUGUAUUAAAAUGUAGUAAAGAAUGUACUUCUUUUUUUUUUUUUUGGAGACAAAUGUCUCGCUAUGUAGCCCCGGCUGACCUCAAACUCAUGGCAAUCCUCCUGCCUCAGCCUCCCGAGUGCUGGGAUUACAGAAGAAUGUAUUAUUGAGACAAUGGACAAUGAGAAAUAUUUGAAUGUCUCUGAUACAUCCAUAUAACCACAAAUCCAUGUAUUUUACCUUUCUGUUCAGCAAGGUAACCUAACAUAAAAAAGUUCUGUUGGGUAAACAUAAGAAUUUAAAGAAUUUUAGAGCUAGGCAUGGUGGUAUGCACCUGUAGUCCCAGAUCCAGGCUACUUGAGAGGCCAGGAUGGGAAGGUUGCAAGUUCAAGGCCAGGAUGGGUAGUCUAGUGAGACCCUUUCUCAAAAGAGGAUGGGGGUAUAGUUCAAUGUUCCCUGGGUUCAAUGCCUGGUAAAACACACACAAAAGAAUUUUAAACAUAUAGGAAGAAAUGGGGACCAAGUACUCAGCAGAAAAAUAAAUCUGUAUCAGUGAUCUGUGAUGGUAAUGUCAUAAUGAUGACAUCAUAGUGGCGAUGAAAUCAUAAUGAUGUUGUCCACUUGCCUUUUCAUUUCUCCCUCUCUGCUUCUGCUGUUGACCCACUGAAACUUCCCUAGGGCACAAGGGUGUGAUGAAGUCCCACGAGGUCCCACGACAAAUACGAAUGGAAAAAGUCAAGACUACUAAAUGGUGGAAAGGUGUGUUUGGGGGGGACAGUCACAGACACUGUGGGCCAGAUCAUAAGAAUCAGCACAGCCACCUUGGUCUUGAACCAAGUGGCCACCAGGAUGUUCAGCCUGGCGCCAGGGUGGGUGCCCUGCAGAGGGGUGAUGGGAACAGCAAGCGCUCCAUGGCUCCGCCCACAUGGAGAGCUCCUUUUGCUAGCAUCUGUUAACCUUAUUUGCCUCUGAAAAACUGUUGGCUGUGAAUAAGAAAGGGGACCUCCCUUUCAGAAUCAUGGAAGCCAGAGGCCCCAUCAUGCUUUGUGGCACUGUAACAGGAAGAAACACACAAUGGAGACAUUUACCUUCCAGAGCUCAGAGUUGUCUACAUACAAGAAUAAUAUGAGGGCUGGGGAUUUAGCUCAGUGGUUCUGCUGCCUGGCUCACAAGCGCAAGGACUUGAGUUUGAUUCCUGGUACCAAAAAAACCCCCCAAAAACUCAGGCACUUUGUUUUUUCUUCUUGUAGUGCUGGGGAGGAACCCAUAGCCUUGUGCAUGGUCUAGUCCAGGCACUGCUGGUACUUUAUAAGGUGUCUGAACUUUUAAAAAGAUCUGUGAGCCAGUGUGGGGGUGUGUGCUGAUCAUCCCAGCACUCUGGGAGGCUGAGGCAGGAGGACUGCAGGUUCCAGCCCAGCCUGGGUAACUCAGCAACUUACUGAGACCCUGUCUUGAAAUAAAAAAUAAAAGGGCUGAUGAAGUAGCCCAGUGUGAAUGCCCUGGGUUCAACCCCCAGUACCUGAAAAAAGAAAAAAAACAAGGAUUUGUGGCUGUCUUAGGGUGUCUAUUUUCUGUUACCGUCAGAGAAUAUCUGAGACUGGGUGAUUUAUAAACAAUUUUAUUUUCGCUUGCAGUUCUGGGGGCUGAGAAGGCCACUGGGGAGGGCUUCAAGCUACAUCAGCUCAGGGUGGAAAGCACAAAGGCAGCUGGGGACAGGCGGGCACAUGUAAGGGAAGAAGCAAGAGGCAAAGCACAAGCAGCCUCACUUUAAAGCAACCAGCUCUUGUGGUAACUAGUCCAGCCCUGCAAGAGUGAGAACUCGAUCCUACCUUGAAAAUCAACCUAGCCCUGUGAGAAAGGAAUGAAUCACGUUCCAUACCUAUUAUGCAAACAGCUGUUAAAGAUCGCGCUUUCUCUCCACACUAUGCUAGCCACUGUGUUAUUACCUUUCCUCCGCUGGCACAAAGCACCUGACACCCACAGGCUUCAAGGAGAGGUUGAUUUGGUUCAUGGUUUCAGGUAGUGCAGUCCAUGCCUUGCUCCAAGGCAGAAACAUGGUAAAAAGGCCUGGGGAGAACAGCUGCUCACCUCAUGGAGGCGGGAAAGCAAAGUGGGUUGUUAGGAGAGUGGAGAGGAAAGGGCUGGGAAACAGAUGCAGAGUCCAAGGUCAGACCACCAUGCCCCACUUGGAUGCACCUGGAAGUGUGUCACUAAUCUGGCAGGCUUUUUGAUCCAGUCAGGCUAACAAUCACAGUAGUCACAAGUACAAAGCCUUAGUAUGAAUUCUGGCAGGGACAAAUCAUAUUCAGACUAAAUUGGGGCCUUGAUAGGGCUGAAAGAGUAUUCUCAGGAGCUGUUAGGUACUAUGCUUGGUUCUCUUGCUUGUUACUUUAGUUGAGCUGUUGGGCAAUAGGAAGUGUCUGACAAUCUCUGGAAAUCUCAUCUUUGAAAUCUGAGAAAUCAGGGAACUGAAGACAAGAGAGAUAAUCAUAGCAUUUCUGGUUUCCUAAAAGCCUUUUUUGGGGGGGGAAGUUCAGACAGGGUCUCACUAUGUAGUUCAGGCUGACCUUGAACUCAAUAUGUAGCCCAGGCUGGGCUUGAACUCACUGUAAUUCUCCUGCCUCAGCCUCUCAAGUGCUGGGAUGACAGGCAUGCACUACCACGCCAGGCUGCUAAAAGCUUUUGCUUAUAGCUGGGAAGAAUAUGCUAGGGAUGUUCCAUGCUGCCAACACUGACUUCAAGAGGUAAGCAUUUCCUGGUUUGUUUUUUUUUCUGGCUCUACUAGAAAUUGAACCAGGCCUCAUGCAUGCUAGGCACGUGCUCUACUAAGCCAUAUCCUCAGCCUUUUAUUUACAGUUUGAGAGAGGACCUUGCUAAGUUACCUAGGCUGGGGUCCUCCUGCCUCAGCCUCAUGAAUAGCUGGGAUUAGAGGCAUGUGCCACAGCACCCAGCUAACCAAAACUGUCUUGCUCUCUGGAGCUUAUGCUGUAGUGGGCUCAGUGUGGACCACGCUGGUCAGAUCCCUGUGAGCAGGAUCCCAGUUACUUCAAGUUCCCACUCUUUUUGGGUAGCACACUGUCAGGGAAAGGUUAAAACGAGUGUCAUCUGGAAUGUGUGUGUUCACUGAGGUGACACUGGCUGAAUGCCCUUCUGCAGGGAGGCUGGCAACCUCCUGGGAAAGGAGUGUACAGAGAUAACUGUUAACACAUGAAGUACUGCUCGCUCUGAGAAGGUUCUGAGAAGCCAAGCCUGGGAACAGUCCCUCUAGCCACGCAGGCCUGUUGGGACCAAGUCACUUUUGUCUGAAUGCAGUACUUAAGGAACAGAGAAACUGGGUAUGGUGUGGUGUUUUCUCUCUUGCUUGUUGAAGGCUCCAUCUCAUAAAAGAUCCUUCCCCUGGAGGAUUCCCCUUCAUCUUUGGUGCUGUCCCUUACCUUGUGUGGUAUUAUUUGACUAUGCUUAUUAUCUGCUGUACUUUUAUAAUAAACUUACUUUGAUCUUUUAAAAAUCAUUGUGUGGCUCUUCUCUGUUCAUGCAGAUCCGAACCUCAAAUUUCUGUGGCUGCAUACAUGUCACUCCUUGCUGUCACACAUAGUGAAUCUCCUGACUUGUUACCCUGACUUGGCAACUGUGGUGCACACAGAGAGGCAAGUGGAUGAGGAGAAUGAAAGGGAUAACUUAGCUCUUUGCUCGAAUAUGAGCUGGGUCAGAAUAACUGAUGUGAACCCUGGGGCUCAUCCUGUAAUUUCUUCACUCUAUCACAGAGCAUUCUGAAAGGGCAGUUUUAAAUAUUUCCUCAUGUAAACAUCAGGGUGUCUUGUGCCUAAACAUGGUCAUUUCCCACAAACGAGCCACUGCCUCUGCUGCACUAACCAC
This 7108-nucleotide long non-coding RNA is filed under the name Heterocephalus glaber (naked mole-rat). RNAcentral describes it as "lncRNA (ENSHGLG00100036476.1)". The record is from RNAcentral. Lineage: Eukaryota; Metazoa; Chordata; Mammalia; Rodentia; Bathyergidae.